CUCACCACCACCUCCAGUGCAUUCACCCCCAUCCCCACCAGUUUACAAGUCGCCCCCACCACUAUACCACUAUAGUUCACCACCACCUCCAGUGCAUUCACCUCCACCACCAACUAUUUAUCAGUCACCCCCACCACUUCCACCAGUAUACAAGUCCCCACCACCACCUUACCACUAUUCAUCACCACCACCUGUUUCUAAGUCACCUCCACCACCUUACCAUUAUUCCUCACCACCUCCUCUAGCGCACUCACCUCCACCACCACCGGUUUAUAAGUCACCUCCACCACCUCCUCCAGUUUACAAGUCCCCGCCACCACCUUACCAUUAUUCCUCACCGCCACCUCCAAUGCAUUCAUCCCUACCCCCACCUAUUUACAAGUCACCCCCACCACCUUACCACUACACUUCACCGCCGCCUCCAGUGCAUUCACCUCCACCACCAACUGUUUAUAAGUCACCUCCACCACCUCCACCAGUCUACAAGUCCCCACCACCACCUUACCACUAUUCCUUGCCACCGCCUCCAGUACAUUCACCUCCACCACCACCUAUUUACAAGUCACCUCUACCACCUCCUCCAAUUUACAAGUCCCCGCCACCACCUUACCAAUAUUCCUCACCUCCACCUCCAGUGCAUUCACCUCCACCACCACCGAUUUACAAGUCACCUCCUCCAGUUUAUAAGUCCCCGCCACCACCUUACCAUUAUUCCUCACCACCACCUCCAGUGCAUUCACUCCCUUCCCCACCAGUUUACAAGUCGCCCCCACCACCUUACCACUACACUUCACCGCCACCUCCAGUGCAUUCACCUCCACCAGUAUACAAGUCCCCACCACCACCUUACCACUAUUCCUCGCCACCACCUCCAGUACAUUCACCUUCACCACCAUCUGUUUAUAAGUCAUCUCCACCACCUUACCAUUAUUACUCACCACCACCUCCAGUGCACUCACCUCCACCACCACCAAUUUAUAAGUCACCUCCACCACCUCCUCCAGUUUACAAGUCCCCGCCACCACCAGUUUACAGGUCCCCGCCACCACCUUACCAGUAUUCCUCACCACCACCUCCAGUGUAUUCAUCACCAAUUUACAAGUCACCUCCACCACCCGCUCCAAUUUAUAAGUCCCCACCACCACCUUACCGCUAUUCCUCACCGCCACCUCCGGUGCAUUCACCUCCACCACCAUCACUUGUUUAUAAGUCACCUCUACCACCUUAUCAUUAUUCGACACCACCACCUCCAGUGCUUUCACCUCUACCAUCACCAGUUUACAAAUCACCACCACCAUCUUUCCCAGUGUACAAGUCCCCUCCACCACCAGUUUACAAGUCUCCACCGCUAUCUCCCCCGGUAUAUAAGUCAUCCCCACCACCUCCUCCAGUGUACAAGUCUCCGCCACCACCAAUCUACAAGUACAAUUCACCACCACCCCCGUCUCCAGUUUACAAGUCCCUACCACCACCUGUUUACGAGCACGAGUCUCCUCCACCGCCUCCUCCAGUAUAUAAGUCACCACCACUAUCUCCUCCAGUGUACAAGUCUCCACCACUGCCUAUUUACAAAUCUCCGCCUCCUCCGGUUUACAGUUCCCCACCACCACCAAUAUACAAGUCUCCACCUCCAUCCGACCAUUACUACUAUUAUACUCCUCCUCCUCCUUCGCACUACUAACGAAUUGCAUCCAAGUUUUGAGGUAAUAACACGUAACCAUUGUAAACUUUUGCUGUUGCAUGAUAAAUCUUAUCCCUUUCAACACAAAAUGCCAUGUGUAUCAUGCUAAGUACCAGCACUUAGAUCCAUGAAAAUGACUAGCAGAAGGUUAUCCUAAGAACCAAGGAACAUUAGUUUUCCCUCUGUUUCCAAAAACUUGUGUUUGUUUAACAUGCUUAUCAACUUGGAAAUGCGCAUUGUUGAUAGCCAACUGAAAUUUUUGCAGGCAAAUUGGGAAGAGAAUCAGUGUUUGAGAGGUUCAUGAAGAUGUGGAAGAAUAAGAAUAAAAGCCCAAUGCGAGGAUGUUCUCAAGUUUUUUAAUGUUUCCGUUCUAUUUUGUAAAUUGAUUUUUGCGACUUAAUUAAUUCCCUGUUUGUGGGGUUUGUGUUGUUUUAUGUACCAUGCCGUACAUGUUUGUAAUGAUUUUUAUUGCAAAACGCCGGUUCAAUAAAAUAACUGUAUUCAUUUCGUGUCUUUUGAGUAAACUUCUAAUGGUUCUACUACUUAUUUUACGACAUUUUUUUCUCUCUUUCUCUUACAUUUUCGGUUUAAUAUUAUCGAUAAGUUUUUUAACAAAAAAGGUUGAUAUACUUAUGCAGUUCACUAGUUUGGUCUAAUCCUAACUUCAGGUUUGCCUUUAUCUUUUAUCUCUACAUACCUUUUCAACUCAAAGGAUGCUACUAUAAUUUGUGAUCAUAGUAGUGGUGAUAUUCCGAACUAUUACAUAUAAUUUAAGGCAGAAAUAUGAUCCUAACGAGUAUCUCACUGAGACAUUAGGAAACAUCAUUAAAAGAGUAUUUCUUGAAUUAGUGCAACUAUUUCUUAGUGGAAUUUAUAGUUACAAAAUUCAAAAUUUUGAGAUUCUAUUACUGAUUAAUUAAGGGCGUUAUCACUAUUUUUCUUAUUAUCACCAUUAUUUACCCCACAUACUAUAAGAUUUUCUAGGGCACAGAGAAAGAGGUGGACUUUUUCUUGAUCCGUUGUUGUAUAAGUUUAAACUUUUGACGUGCAAUUGUGCUAUAAUAUUAUACUAAAUAUAUGUGUGAAAUAUUUUGUCUAUAUACAUCACUUUUAUCGUGAAUACAAUAGCUGAGUAUAAUAAUAUAGUAUAAUGUAAUUGUACACCAAAUAAUGUAGCAAAUAUAACAAUUGAUCCGAAUUACACGGAACUAUAACAACAAGAUCACUGCCUCCCAAAUUUUACAAAAUUAGUUUUUUUUCUCUCUUAGAUUAUUGAAAAUUUUCAAAAAUAUUCUACAUAAUUUAAGCUUUUGUCCUACAAAAAUUUGAAAAGAUUUUACAUUACAAGCUUAAGCUUAGAUAUAUUAAAUUUUGCCCCCAAGAUUAAUUUUCCCUUUUUAUCUAUGGUCCCUAAUCUAUGAACCGAUCCAUAUAGCUAGUUAGACUGUGAUAGGUUGCAAUUUUAUCAUCUAUUUUAUUAUUAAUUUCUCCUAUUAUCCGACCUGAUGUGGAUUAAUUGUUAGAUUCUACGCACUUUUGAAGAAUUGGCAUUUAUUACAGGGAAUAGAACGAAAAUACCAUAACAAGAGUCAAUUUGACAGUCAUCAGGAAGGAGUCCAAGUGACAGGCGUCUAGGGGUAUUUUUGAAAUAUCAAGACGCGAUCCUUUUUGGUAAUUUAUGGAAGGCAGCAUAAAAGAAGAAAAGGAACGAAGGGCUGGAGCCUUCUUCCUCUCGGGAGGGAGGCCGCCGCACAGUAGAGUAGAGGCCCUACUUUGGAGUUGCUAUGUUUGACUUUUCCUUCUUAGUUUUGGUAGUGAUAAUUCUCCCUCGGAUGUGAGGAGAAAUUAGGAGCUUUUGUUGACUUUUCCUUUGUGAGUUUUUGGAGUAGUUCCCAAUUCACGCAUGUCAGGAGUUUUAGAACUUUGACUUUUCCCUUUUCGUCUCUUAGUAGCUUUGUAUGCCCGCAUGGCAGGAACAAUGGGAAGAUUCAACCAUUCUAUGCAGGUUUCGUUUCCUUUGAUUAUUUGAACGAAUUGAACUCUCGAAAAUCAGAGACAAUGGUCGCGACUCUUGCUCCAGUUUUGUAUGGUUUCUUCUCAUCAAGUAUGAACUAAUUUCCGCACUCUAAUUAGGGAACAACGGAUACUUUGAAUCGCCUAAAAUUGUGAGUUCGAUUUAAUUUCAUCUUUUCAUUUUAUUUAUUGGUAUUCACAUAUUCCUCGAUUGUAGUAUUUAUGAUUAUUUAAUUAAUUGAUUGUCUUGGAUCCGGAUAAUUAGUUAACUUGAUAAUCUACUGUCAAUUAAGACAUUAAAUCUGUAAUUGUUUAAUUACCUUGAAUUAGUGACAACUGACAUGAUUAGGUUUGUGUCAGGAGGGAUACGCGGGCUAAUCUAAAAUAACCUUGGUAAUGCGUUAUUUGGUUAGAAUAGGGCUCCUCUAAUACGUAAGGCAAUUGGGGAAUUAAAUCUUACGGGCGUACCUAGGAUUAUUUCUCAAUUAGAGUAGUGGUUAAUGGGCGUACCUUAAUCACCGACACAGUAAGGAGGGGUUGACUGUCAUCGCUUGUUUGGCAGUUAUAACCUAUUUAUUAGUAAAUAAUUGGAUUUGGCUUUGCUUCGAUAAUCAAUUAGGUGCACCAUUGCUGAAGUUAUUUCUUGGCUAGAGCCUUAGUUAUCAUUCAUUUGAUUUUAGUAACUUGUUAUUUAAUUUUUAAUAGUUUUUUAGAUUUUAUUUGAAUUUCUUUGAUUGUCAUCUUCUGCACAAAAACACCCUCUUUGUUACUGUGGAUUUGAAAAGAAACAGUUACUCCCAGUCCCUGUGGAUUCGACCCUGCUUACCACUAUUUACAAAAAUUAACUUUAGUUGAGCAGGUUUUUAUUAUUGCACAGGUCCGACACCUGUCAGACUGUAGUCCUCACAUUUGUGGGAUUUAACACCCAAGAUUCCCCUUCUUGGAAUGUAAAAUGUAGAUCUUCUAUGUUAAUAAUUCAAGACCCUACUGUCAUAAACGAAAUGACUGAUCAACUCCUGUAAACCUAAUUUGACAACAUUUAAAUGAAGAACUUUAGCUAAAAGAAUUAUGGUCAAGCUAAAGAAAAAACCAGUUAUUUUCCAACAUAUGCAAUCAUUGAUCAGGGAAAAAAAAAAGCAAAAAGACAUCUUCAAUCAUUUAAUAGCUUACCGGGCAAAUUAACCCCUGAGUGAAAACUGGUUGCUCUAGAAUCAAAAUUUUACCUUAGUUACCCAGGCAACUUUUUUGUUGCUUUUUUUUUUUUUUUUUUCUUUUUGGGUAUAUAGCUCCAGUUUUGCCCCCUCUGUCAAGCUUAUAUAAUUAUUAAGAUAAUAAAAGUGCCUUUAAUAGUUAAUAUAUCCAUUGACUUGAGCUGUCAUCAGUUUGGCUACUUCGAUUCCAUGAGGCCUUUUCAAUUCACACUAGCUAGAAAAAAUGGUAAUAAAAGUACUCAGAAAAUGGGGAAUCAUGAAAACCUUUUGUUCUAUUCAUUGCUAAGAUGCUUUUCUCUAUAAAGAGACUUCCUAACGAAAAUACUUUGUAGAUUUCUUUGCUCCAAGUGGUGCAUGGAAAAUUAAUAUUUUCAAUUAUCAAAUAAAAUUCCCUUUUUUCGGUGUAGAUUUCAUCCAUCCAGCUGUUAACACAUUCUAUAAAUCCGAAUUGACUAAUCUUUUUGUUUCCAUUUUCCAACUUGCGAAUACGGCAUCUUAUAUAUUGUCUGCUAAUUCUCUGCCAAAUAUGAAUACAUAUCACUUUUCUGAGCAAGUGCAGAGUCAUUAUCAUUUUUAUUCCCACCUAACAAAUUAGUGGUUGAGCAUCUUUACAUGCUAUCAGGUCACAAGUUAAUAAUCUUUUAAAGAACAUGUUAAAUUAAUUUAUUGGUAUGAAUAGCAGUCAAAGAAGUAUGUUAAAGUUAGUAAUCUUUAAAAUAAUAUGUUAAAAUCAUUCGUACAAAUUAGUCAGAGAAGUAGCAUAAACACCACGAUGCAAUUAAUACUUUCAAGCUCAAGGUCUCUAUUAUGGAAAUUUGCAUCGGUCAAUAUACACUUGGCAUAGUUGUAUGCACGUCUUUUUUUUUUUUUUUUGGUAUUUUACUUCCUUGCCUUAAGUUGCCUGCAGACGUUUGUAUUACAAAUAUAUGGUACACUAAAUAUAUAGUAUGCACAUUAAUUUCUUUGGAUUGCUUAAGAUUAUAUUGUUAAUAAUAGGGGGUUUAACCAUAAAUUAUAACAAUUAUGAAGUAAUAUAUAUUAGAAAAUUAACACAAUUAUGAAUUUUUUUGUAAAUUCAAAUUUUAUUAAUAAGAAAUGAAAUAGGCAGUAAGCAUUUACAAACGGAAAACAAAAUCCUACAACAACUCUAGGACUCUACACCUUAUUAAAAAAAAAACUAGGACACUAUACCUCAGAGAAGCUAAACAAUCCUACAAAUAAACUGCAAAAUAAAUCACAAUAACGCAAAAUUUUUGUCUUUCUCCCGUAUGAAAUGAAACUACGAAGUCAAGAAUUGACUCCUUUAACGGUAUUGCCAGCGGGCUCCGUCAGCAAGAUACAACUUUGCAAUUUGAUUCAAUAGAAAUCCUCAAAUAGCUAUUUUGACAGGCAAAUUAAGCAUUAAUUUUGGUAUCCCUUCAUAAAAUACAAGAGUACUUUUGAUUAUAUCUAUAGAUCAACUUUCUAGGCUUGAUGUAUUAUAAGAAAAUCUGCCUAACGAUUUUGAUAGCAUUUUUCCAAAAGCAGAAGAUGGAAAAUUGCCCAUUUGUACUGGGGAGUUCGUGAUCUUUUCCUCAUUCUAGUCUACUUACAAUUCUUGGAAAAAGGAAUACUCACAUCUCAAACAACAGCCUGUUCAUCUGCAGCGUCCCGCAGAAUUCUAGAAAGUAGGUGGCAUCCCACAUCGAGUGUUUGUGGGGGGGGGGGGGGUUUGGGUUAGUUUACAAGUCUCUGAGGAACCUCAAGAGUUGCCGGCUUUUGUGGUUUUCUCGGGGUUUAGGUUUGUAAAAUGAUCAAAAGUCACCCUGAUUUUGGUAAAAAAGACAACUACCUGUCCGGGGUUAGUGAGGUCUCUUUAGGUCUUAGUAGCAGCUGCUCUGUUUAAGGUAGUUAUCCCACAUCGAGUGUUAGGAGGGGGGUUUGGGUUAGUUUAUAAGUUUCCUGAGAAACCUCAAGAGUUGCCGAUUUUUGUGAUUUUCUCGGGAUUUAGGUUUGUAAAAUGAGCAAAAGUCAUCCUGGCUUUGGUAAAAAAAAGGUGGCAAUAUUAAUUACAUUUCAAAAUUGACUGCUGCGAUAACUAAUUCGAUGGCUACUCCAUGGUCAACGUUUGGACCCUUCCUGCCAGCACAUAGCCCUUUUUGGAUGCACAUUUUUUUUCUCUAGGUAAUAUAAUCUCCCAACUCAUUUCUUUACAAAUGCACCUUUAAUCACCACCAAAAGGUGUGGACAUGAUCUUUACCCUAGAAAACUAUUCACCGACAGGCAAAUUGACGUCAGAAAUACUAAGAGGAAUUCUAGUUUCCUUCGGGUUCAUGCCAUUUUGUACCCUUCAACUGUAACUCGAUUUCUAAACUGUAAUUUGUGACAUUAUAGUCCUUAAACUAUGAAACCCUUCUUACUCAAGUAUAAUGGUUAAUACAAUACCCGUGACUAGACAAGUAUGAAGCAACCAUAACAAAAACAAAUGCAAAAUUCGAGAAAAGAAAGAAGUUUCGCGACCAAAGUAUGUAUCAAGGCAUGGUACAGAAAUAAAAGUGUCAAAAUUAAGAGUUUAGGGAUGAAAAAGAAUCAAAAUAUAGUUUAGGGAUUGAUUUGUCUCAAUUAGAGUUUAGAUGUCAACUAAGAAGAGAGAUAGAGUUGAAGAGUAGAAUAUAGAUAUAACAGUUCAAUUAUUGAUAUCAACGAGACAAUGACAACUUUGGAUUAUUACCAACCUCUUCUUGAUGGGAAAAGGAAAUAGAGAAGAAAGUCGGGCCUGGUCUAAGCCUGUUUCGGAGGCAAAACAACAUUAUGAAAUCACCGGCAUUCACACAAAUAUGUCAAAGUCACCGGCAUGCUAAGUUGCAAAAUUUAUACAAACACUGAAUAAUAUAUUGUUCUUAAAAUUUUUGUUUAAGAUUUAACAAUUAGAGCACGGUACACGAAUUAGCAAUAUUAAAUAAUGAAUGUUCACGAUUGAUAAAGUUAUCAAAGUACAGUUUGAGGGCAACCCAUUCCAACGUGUACAAGAUGUUUAGCCUUUGAAAAGUUAAUUAGAGAAGGUGACGAGAUUUUACUAGGCUUACAUCUUCUAGGCCUCGAGAGUAAAAAAUGAAGGCCUCUGAGGGCUAUAAAAAGGGGGCUAGAUGUUGCCUAGAAGCAUAUCAGCCUCAUACCACAUUUUGUAGCAAUGGGGAGCAAAGCAAAAGCAAUGGGGUCUAGGCUGACUCCUCUUUUUACCACCGUUUUAGUGGUAUUUGUUGCUCUUGGCUUGCCUUCAGAAACUGCAGCUGAUUACGACAAGUAUUCACCUCCUCCUCCUCCUUACCAUUAUUACUCACCACCACCUCUUGUGCAUUCACCUCCACCAUCGCCAGUUUAUAAGUCACCCCCACCACCUUACCAUUAUUCCUCACCACCACCUCCAGUGCAUUCACCUCCACCACCACCGAUUUACAAGUCACCUCCACCACCUCCUCCAGUCUACAAGUCCCCACCACCACCUUACCAUUAUUCCUCACCACCACCUCCAGUGCAUUCACCCCCACCACCACCAGUUUACAAGUCUCCGCCACCACCUCCUCCAGUUUACAAGUCUCCACCACCACCUUACCAUUAUUCCUCACCACCACCUCCAGUGCAUUCACCCCCACCACCACCAGUUUACAAGUCUCCGCCACCACCUUACCAUUAUUCCUCACCACCACCUCCGACGCAUUCACCUCCACCACCACCGGUUUACAAGUCACCUCCACCACCUCCUCCAGUUUACAAGUCCCCGCCACCACCUUACCAUUAUUCCUCACCACCACCUCCAGUGCAUUCACCCCCACCACCACCAGUUUUUAAGUCUCCGCCACCACCUUACCAUUAUUCCUCACCACCACCUCCUGUGCAUGCACCUCUACCACCAAUUUACAAGUCACCUCCACCACCUCCUCCUCCAGUUUACAAGUCUCCACCACCACCUUACCAUUAUUCCUCACCACCACCUCCAGUGCAUUCACCCCCACCACCACCAGUUUACAAGUCUCCGCCACCACCUUACCAUUAUUCCUCACCACCACCUCCGACGCAUUCACCUCCACCACCACCGGUUUACAAGUCACCUCCACCACCUCCUCCAGUUUACAAGUCCCCGCCACCACCUUACCAUUAUUCCUCACCACCACCUCCAGUGCAUUCACCCCCACCACCACCAGUUUACAAGUCUCCGCCACCACCUUACCAUUAUUCCUCACCACCACCUCCAGGGCAUUCACCCCCGCCACCACCAGUUUACAAGUCACCGCCACCACCUCCUCCUGUUUAUAAGUCCCCUCCACUACCUCAUCAUUAUUCCUCACCACCACCUCCAGUGCAUUCACCCCCACCACCACCAAUUUAUAAGUCUCCCCCACCGCCUCCCCCAGUAUAUAAGUCACCACCACCACCUCCUCCAGUAUACAAAUCACCUCCACCACCUCCUCCAGUUUACAAAUCUCCACCACCACCAAUUUAUAAAUACAAGUCUCCUCCACCACCUCCUCCAGUUUACAAUUCCCCACCACCACCAAUCUACAAGUCUCCACCUCCACCCUACCAUUACCACUACAAUUCUCCUCCUCCUCCUCCUCAUCACUACUAAGCAAUUGUAUCCAAGUUUUUGAGGUAAUAAUGCUAAACCAAUAUAUUAACUUUCGCAUGAUAAACUUUAUCUCUAUCAAGACAAACUGCCAUGUGCAUCAUGCCAAAUACGUACACUUAGAUCCAUGAAAAUGACUAGUAGAAGGUUUUCUUAAGAACCAAGGAACAGCAUUAGUAUUCCCUCCGUUUCCAAAACUUGUGUAUUAAAUAGAUUAAUGAAUUGUUUAACAUGCUUAUCUACUUGAAAAUGCACAAUACCCAUAACCCACUGAAAUUUUUGCAGGUAAAGGGGAAGAGAAUCUGUGUUUGAGAGCUUCAUAAAGAUGUUGAAGAAUAAGAAUAAAAGCCCAAUGCGAGGAUGUUUUCAAGUUUUUCUAUGUUUCCACUUUAAUUUGUAAAUUGAAUUUUUCGACUCAAUUAAUUCCCUGUUUGUGGGGUACGUAUUGUUUUACGUACCAUGCCGUACAUGUUUGUAAGGAUUUCUAUCCUAUUGGCAAAAGUCGGUUCCAUACAAUUAAUAAAUUCAUUUCACUUCUAUUGGCUCUACUAUUUAUGCAUGGUACGACAUUUUUUCUCUCUUUCCCUUAUAUUUUGCCUUUAAUAUUAUUGAGUCAAUAUUAAUAAUGGGCCUUUUUCUUAAAAUUAUACUAUUAUACAUAGGUAGUUUGGUCUAACGCUAAAUUCAUGUUUGUCUUUCUUUUAUUCCCUUUACAUCUCAAAGUAUACUAUAGUUUGUGAUCAUUGUGGUGAUGAUAUUACCAGCUGGUACUUAUAGUUUAAGGCAGAGACAUGAUAUUAACAACUAUCUCAUUGAAACAUAAGGAAAAAUCAUGACAAGUGUGAGUCUUGGUUAAUGCACAAUUUGUUAGUGGAAUUUAUAUUUAUAAAACUCAAAAAAAAAUUUUGACAACGCUAUUACUAAUUAAUUAAGGACUUUAUUGCUAUAACUUAUCGCUUACUAGUUUAAACUAUAAAUGAUCUCAAUACUUUUCUCCAUGAUGUCGAUUUCUUUAGACUACGAAAGGGAAAAAUUAGUGACAUAUCCCUUACUGAUUACAACAUCAGCAAAAAUUAGUUAUAAACUUUUCCGGUGGUUUUAAAUCCCUCGGGCACUAAGAUUUUUUGCACAUCGAGUGAAUGAAGGAACAUAGGCAAUUCGUUCAGCAUACCAAGUCCUUGUUUAAGAUGCAAGUACUAAAAUGCAUCCUCUUCAUUAAUUUGGGAAAUUGCCAUAGUUUUUUUUUAAGCAUUUUGAUUUUUUACAUGAUUCAAAAUUUUCUUAUUGGAUACAAUCACUUUGUAUCAAGAACACAUUUUCAAUCAUCUUUUUUAUCUUCUCAAUAAGAAAAUAAAAAUUUAUUCAUGCUUUUCUAACAUAUCCAAUCAUUGAUCUGAAAAAUAAAGAAUUAAAAAAAAAAUACAUUUUCAAUCAUUGCUUACAGGGCAACUUCCCCAUGUGAACCUCUUCAAACAAAGCUAAUAAUAUGAAGGAACAUCUAAAUACACUUUUGCCCUAAAGACUGGUUGCCUUGGGGUCAAAAUUUAACCUUCGGGAGUAUAAUUACCCUGCCAAAUUUAUUAUUUUUUUAUGGGUAUAUAGUUCCAAUUUUUCCUCCUGUUAAGCUUAUAAAUAUAUUAUCACCCAGAAAAUAAAGGAAUCUUGAAUACUAACAUGUCCAUUGACUUGAGUUGUCAUCAAUUCGGCUACUUCGGCCAAUCUAAUUCACACUAGCUAGAGAAAAUGGAGAUAAAGGCACAUAGAAAAUUAUAUGUAAUAUUGAUUGGUAGUAACCACCUUGUAUUGAUCCCACUAUUGUGAAAAAAAAUUAUAAAAAAUUAGCAAAAUUUAAAAGAACAAAUUAAAUUUAUUCGUACAAAUCAGUCAAAGAAGUAGUAUUUUAAAGACCAUGAUGAAAUUAAUACUUUCAAGGUCUCUAUUAGGAAGACUUCCUUUGUUGGUGAAACUACACUAGGCACAGUUAUAUGCCUAAUUUCCUUGCCUUAAGCUGGGUGCAGAUGUUUAUAUUACAAAUAGAUGGUAUCAAAAAAUUGUUGUAAUCACGUCUGUUCUUUUUUUCUUCCUUAAUUUUUUUUCUUUAUUCUCGUGACUUCAAAAAUACGAACUCAAGAAAUUGGCUGCUCAAUCAGUACAUCAUACAGGCUUCGACAUUAAGGUAUAACUUCACAACUAGAGCCAAUAGAAAUCGUCAAAUGAUUUUUUGACAUCCAAUUUAAGCAAUAAAUUUUGUUUUCAUUUCAUAACAUAUAAUAGUACUACUUCAUGGGAGAUUUUAUAGUUUCUUUAGGGUAUCAUACCUACAAUUGAUAUUUGUCAUUGGAUAGUGAAAGAAGUGUUAAUGACUGUAAGAUUAAAUAUUGUUAAAUAUUGAAAAUUUAAACUAUUUAUCUUUAUUGAGAGAUACAACUUAAAGAAUCCUGUUUUUCAUAGAAUUUUCUCUGUUUUUCAUCAUCUGUAGACAUAAACUUUCCACGGUUGAUGUACUAUAAGGAAAUUUUGCCUAUACAAUGUGAUAGCAUUUUUUCAAAAAGAUCGACAAGAUGGAAAAUUGCCCCCUUGAACGGAAAAAAUCAUGAUCUUUCCUCAAACUAGUCUACUUGUCAAUUCUUUAAAAAAGAAUACUCGCUCCUAAGCAUAGCCUGUUCAUCUACACUGUCCCGAAGAAUUCUAUAAAGUUAGGCAAAACUAGACAAGUUGACAGGUAUAAUCAGACCCAAGAUCAGGAACAAGCAGUUGCACAUUUCAAAAUUCGCUGCUGCAACAACUAAUUUGAUGACUUACAACACUAAAUGUAAUUUUCACGUUACAUAAUAGAUUGAUAUCUAUGUUCUUUAAAUUAUCAUAAUAAUACUCUUAAUUAAAUUUAACUGAUAAAAAGUGUGAAACUAGUAAGGAAUAAAUAAUGGUGAUAAUGUACUUAAUAAUUUAACAACAGCACCAUCAGAAUUUGAGCUUUGUAUCUAUAAAUUCCACGAAUAAAUAGCUUCAUCAAAUCAAGAUUUACACUUUUCAUAAUGUUAAGUUUCCUUGACUUUCAAUGAGAUAUUUAUUAGUACCAUGCUUCGGUCUUAAACAAUGAUCACAAACGAUAGCAUCCUUUGAGUUGAAAAGGGAAGUAGUGAAAAAGAGAAGUAUAAAAUACAAUUAGCAUUCCCUCAAAUUGUAGAAAGUUAGGUAGCAUUAUAGACAAGUUGAUAGCCGUAAUUAUACUAAAAAUCAGGCAAAAGCCAGCAAUUUUACAUUUCAAAAUUCACCUAUUCAAUAACUAAUUCGAUGGCUUGCUACAUGGUCAAAAUUCACCACAUAUCCCUUUCCUCAAUCAGGGGCUUCUACAAUUACCAGUUCCAAUUGUAUGGUAUAGUUCCAAUUACCAGUUCCUCAAUCGUUCCGUCAAUUAACUGCACCAUACAAUCUAACCUGCAAUUGUAUGAACCCCAAUCUCGCUUCCUAAUCCACCAUUUUUCUCUAGGUAAUAAUCUCCCUUCUAAUUUCUUCACAAAAUGCACCUUUCAUCACCUCCAAUAGCGUCGACAUGAUCUUUACCCUAGAAGACUAUUCACCGACUCUCAAUUGACGUCAGAAAAUCUAAGAGUAAUUCUACUUUACCCUAAGAUUGAUAUCAACUAGACAAUGACAAUUUAGAAUUAUUACACGCCUGUUCCUAAUAGGAAAAAGAAAUAGAGAAGAAAGUACAGGCCUGGUCUAAUUUCUUUUCAAAGGCAAUACAACAUUACGAAAUCAAGCAUUCAUUCAUACAAAUAUUUCCUAGUCACCGAUUUGCGGAGUAGAAAAGUUUAUACAAAAACUUAAUAUUAUAUUGUUUAAGAGUUAACAAUUUAGAGCUUAAUCCUGAUACUAGCAUAAUUACCUAAUGAAUCGCGAUUGUCAAAUAAAUUUACAGUUUGAGGAAAACCCAUUCUAACGUGUACAAGUCAAAAACGUUUGUGUUGAGGUUUGGUUACGAUACCUUCCUAUUAUUUAAAAUCUCUCACAUAAUCUCCUUGUACUUUGGACUAAACUCGAACGUGAAAGGAAAUCCCAAAACCAUAUUGGGCAUGAAUUCACACAUAAUAGACCCAAAAAAAGGCAGCGGAGACUGGUGGAGAGAUUUGAGGAAUAGACGCAGACGGAAAAGCAACAAAUUUUGGCCGAAAAACGGUCACUUUCAUGGUUAAUUUUUCUACUCUCUAAUUGUACUUACCAAAUGCAACAGUGAAAUUGUAAUAUAAGCUGAAGAUGGAGUUUGAUACGUGAAAAGAAUUUUUUUAUAAAUUUUAUUUUGACCCAUAAUGUUAUCUUUAGAUACAUAAAAUAUUUUAAAAUUUUGAUUUUUGCCCAGUUAACUUUUGGUAAACAAAAAAUGCUCAUGUUUAAAAAACCGGAAAUAAAAUAAAACAAGAAAUGAAAGAAAUAAGAGGGUAGCAUAGACAUUUUGGAUUUUUCCGUUAAUUUGGAUGAUUUCCAUCCACAUUCUAAUUUAAUCCAAAACACAAAGGAAUUAUAUGGAGAUUUUUAAAUAAUGACGGAGUUUCGUGAUUGAAUCCCAAACCACAAGGGGAUUUACUAUGAAUGUUCACGAUUGAUAAAGUUAUCAAAGUACAGUUUCAGGACAACCCAUUCCAACGUGUACAAGAUGUUUAGCCUUUGAAAAGUUAAUUAGAGAAGGUGACGAGAUUUUACUAGGCUUACAUCUUCUAGGCCUCGAGAGUAAAAAAUGAAGGCCUUUGAGGGCUAUAAAAAGGGGGCUAGAUGUUGCCUAGAAGCAUAUCAGCCUCAGACCACAUUUUGUAGCAAUGGGGAGCAAAGCAAAAGCAAUUGGGUCAAGGCUGACUCCUCUUUUUACCACCGUUUUAGUGGUAUUUGUUGCUCUUGGCUUGCCUUCAGAAACUGCAGCUGAUUACGACGACUAUUCACCUCCUCCUCCUCCUUACCAUUAUUCCUCACCACCACCUCUAGUGCAUGCACCUCCACCACCUCCUCCAAUUUACAAGUCCCCGCCACCACCUUACCAUUAUUCCUCACCACCACCUCCAGUGCAUUCACCUCCACCACUUCCUCCAGUUGACAAGUCUCCGCCACCACCUUACCAUUAUUCCUCACCACCACCUCCUGUGCAAGCACCUCCACCACCAAUUUACAAGUCACCUCCACCACCUCCUCCAGUUUACAAGUCUCCACCACCACCUUACCAUUAUUCCUCACCACCACCUCCAGUGCAUUCACCCCCACCACCACCAGUUUUUAAGUCUCCGCCACCACCUUACCAUUAUUCCUCACCACCACCUCCUGUGCAUGCACCUCUACCACCAAUUUACAAGUCACCUCCACCACCUCCUCCUCCAGUUUACAAGUCUCCACCACCACCUUACCAUUAUUCCUCACCACCACCUCCAGUGCAUUCACCCCCACCACCACCAGUUUACAAGUCUCCGCCACCACCUUACCAUUAUUCCUCACCACCACCUCCGACGCAUUCACCUCCACCACCACCGGUUUACAAGUCACCUCCACCACCUCCUCCAGUUUACAAGUCCCCGCCACCACCUUACCAUUAUUCCUCACCACCACCUCCAGUGCAUUCACCCCCACCACCACCAGUUUUUAAGUCUCCGCCACCACCUUACCAUUAUUCCUCACCACCACCUCCUGUGCAUGCACCUCUACCACCAAUUUACAAGUCACCUCCACCACCUCCUCCUCCAGUUUACAAGUCUCCACCACCACCUUACCAUUAUUCCUCAC
RNAcentral lists this long non-coding RNA (15271 nucleotides) under Coffea arabica (coffee). RNAcentral describes it as "long non-coding RNA (CARA_LNC006958)". The record is from RNAcentral. Lineage: Eukaryota; Viridiplantae; Streptophyta; Magnoliopsida; Gentianales; Rubiaceae.